This is a long non-coding RNA of Bactrocera latifrons, 1527 nucleotides long. RefSeq lists it as uncharacterized. The transcript has 4 exons. NCBI's taxonomy places the organism in Eukaryota, Metazoa, Arthropoda, Insecta, Diptera, Tephritidae. The record is from RefSeq and is a predicted model, not a curated record.
AGUGUGCACGUAAUUCUUGGCUGUUGGGGCGAAUAUUUGUUAAAAUUGGUGGAAAAUAUUUGUUUAAAGUUGUGAAUUGACUUUUUUAUUUCAUUUAAAGUUAAAAUUAUUAAUAAAAGCAAAAAGUAGUGUCGGGGAAAGUCGUAAUGCGUUAAAUUCCUUGUGUAAAUUCUUAAAAUGCGUGUUCGGGUACGGGGCGUAUAUAUGAAUGUCAACUUUAUAUUAUAUUACAGUAGAACAUCAAGUGAACAAGGAAAUUGUGAAAAUAUAUACAUAUUUUAUUWUUAUUGGAAACAUAAAAAGUGGUAUUUUAGAGACUUAUAUAGUAAAUGGAAACAAAUAAGAACACAUAGGCUAUAAAAACAUAUUAGUUAUGUAAUCGCAGCCAAGAUAUUAUAAAAAAUAGCGCUUAGUGUAAUAUUGACAAGCCAAGUUUGAAAGGCCUUCAUUCCGUGUAGCGAUUAACGUUUACAGUCUUUGAUUGGUUCAAAACGGUUGCCCCGUGGCGGUCGUCUGAAUGUGCUGUACAGCCAGAAGUCACACGACGCCAAAAUCUGGCGAAUACACUGCCUGCGGCAUGAAAUUAGUUCAAUUUUUGGCGAAAACUCACGAGGAAUCAAUGUAGUAUGCGGCGGUGCCUUCAUUUGGUGCAAAACCAAGAGCUGCCCGUCUAUAAUUCCGGUCGGAUGGUCGUAAGGAAUUCGGAGUGCACUCCCCCUCCAUAAUUGAAGCAAACUGCCAACAAAACCGUGUUUUUUAACCUKCUUGGCUUUUUCGGCUGCAGCUCAGCUUGGCCACGAUAUUCAGCCGAUUGAUCGUUUGUUUACGGGUCGUAGGCAUAGAUCCAAGACGCAACGCCAGCAAUAAUACGUUUCAUGAUAUCCUGGCAGUCGGAAGGCAUUGUUUCACCAACGUUAACGCGGCGCUGUUUUUCGAACAAAUUUACCUCCGUGAGCAAAAUUUUACUGGAACGGCUGGAACGACCGAGCGAACUCACCUAACUCGGGAGAUUAUUUUACACUAAGGUACUACGAACCAAUAAAAAAUAGAGAAGGCCAUUUUUUGAAGGUGUAGCACACAAAAAACGGGUAUUGAAUGAAGUGAAGCGCCAGCUGAGGAGCGCAUGUCGUGAAAAUUGAGACAUAUGUAUAUAUUAUCCAUCAGAUCUGGACUGCCUAGUUGUCAAAAGUAAUUAUCAAACAAAAAGUUGGAUACUACGAUCAAAAACUAAUCGUUUAUGGACAAAAUGUGCCAAUUUAAAAGUUUUGGACAGGGAAUAAAUAGAGAGGACYCGGAAUAGAUGGAAGGAUACUCGGAAAUCCUCUCACAACCCAUUUCAACACCUUCCCUUAGAAAAAAUAAUCAUUUUGACGAUUUUAUUCUCAAAAAUCGGCGAUUUGGUACACAUUUUUAUUUUUCUAAAUUUCUGUGUAAAUCCAAAUUUAAAGUUUCUUCAAUAAAAAUAUGCCCCAAGGGAUUCUGCAAAUUUCUGUGUCUUUACUUUUGCUCUACGACCUUUAGUUUAGA